Molecule: ribosomal RNA, 469 nt
Filed under: Salmonella enterica
Lineage: Bacteria; Pseudomonadati; Pseudomonadota; Gammaproteobacteria; Enterobacterales; Enterobacteriaceae
Also listed under: 1 other name
Description: bacterial SSU rRNA
Rfam family: Bacterial small subunit ribosomal RNA
Source: RNAcentral
GCAGGCUUGAGUCUUGUAGAGGGGGGUAGAAUUCCAGGUGUAGCGGUGAAAUGCGUAGAGAUCUGGAGGAAUACCGGUGGCGAAGGCGGCCCCCUGGACAAAGACUGACGCUCAGGUGCGAAAGCGUGGGGAGCAAACAGGAUUAGAUACCCUGGUAGUCCACGCCGUAAACGAUGUCUACUUGGAGGUUGUGCCCUUGAGGCGUGGCUUCCGGAGCUAACGCGUUAAGUAGACCGCCUGGGGAGUACGGCCGCAAGGUUAAAACUCAAAUGAAUUGACGGGGGCCCGCACAAGCGGUGGAGCAUGUGGUUUAAUUCGAUGCAACGCGAAGAACCUUACCUGGUCUUGACAUCCACGGAAGUUUUCAGAGAUGAGAAUGUGCCUUCGGGAACCGUGAGACAGGUGCUGCAUGGCUGUCGUCAGCUCGUGUUGUGAAAUGUUGGGUUAAGUCCCGCAACGAGCGCAACCC